CCUACGGGAGUCUGCAGUGAGGAAUAUUGGUCGAUGUACGAGAGUCUGAACCCGCCAAGUAGCGUGAAGGAUGACUGCCCUAUGGGUUGUAAACUUCUUUUAUAUGGGAAUAAAACGUUCCACGUGUGGGAUUUUGUAUGUACCAUAUGAAUAAGGAUCUGCUAACUCCGUGCCAGCAGCCGCGGUAAUACGGAGGAGCCGAGCGUUAUCCGGAUUUAUUGGGUUUAAAGGGCGCGUAGGUGGAUUGUUAAGUCAGUUGUGAAAGUGUGCGGCUCAACCGUAAAAUUGCAGUUGAAACUGGCAGUCUUGAGUACAGUAGAGGUGGGCGGAAUUCGUGGUGUAGCGGUGAAAUGCUUAGAUAUCACGAAGAACUCCGAUUGCGAAGGCAGUACACUGGACUGCAACUGACACUGAGGCUCGAAAGUGUGGGUAUCAAACAGGAUUAGAUACCCGAGUAGUC
This 460-nucleotide ribosomal RNA is filed under the name uncultured bacterium. RNAcentral describes it as "partial 16S ribosomal RNA". It matches the Rfam family "Bacterial small subunit ribosomal RNA", at positions 338 to 795 of the family's 1533-position model. The record is from RNAcentral.